UUUCGCAUCCUGGAUGUUGAUGUUGAUUUUUUUUUUUGCUAUAGGUUCAGUCAAAGUUUAUAAAAUUUGACUAUCAGUAAAAAAUAUGUUGAAGCGAAGGAGUAUGUGCAGAAGACAGGAAAGCAGUAAUUCUUAGCUAGGAUUAACCAUUAAUUACUGGAUGGUGUACGUGGUAAAAUUGAGGAUUUAAGGUGGGUGGGGGUCUCACACUCAGCAUUAGUAGCAAGCAAGCAAGCACGAUCUUAGCUUACCCUUGUCCACUUAUGAUAUGUAGCACAGUUCGAGCAUAUACGACAAGCUGGGCUAUAUAUAGACAGUACGAUUCAAGUGGACAGUCGAUCUCUCACCGCAUAGAUAUAGAUCUAGCAUAUCUUUCUAUCUACUCCCUGUGCAGCAUAUACUGUGUGGUCUGUCAUAGGCCAGCCAGCCAGCCAUGAGCAUGCAUGCUGCUCUCCGGCCGUACUGAGACGAGACACAUUUACGUGUCGAUCGAGCCAUUAAUUUCUAUCUAUUCUAGGCCAAUGUAGAUGUAGUCCAUUUCCUCUUUUAGAGCAGUACUAUAUAGCUCACUCACUCAAUACGACAAAUUAAGCCUAGCUAGCUGCUGCACACUGCUCCUACAGUUACUUCAUUGCAUUUGCUGCGUCGCCACCAAUGGACGUCAGAAUAUGUUUGUCCAUCAGAGAGAUUCUUUGCUCCGUUUCUUGUCGCGACCUUCCUCUUCUUCCUCGAGGCAGGUUUAGGCCAACCUUCACUUGCGACCUUCCUUUCCUUCCUCGAUGUUCUGCCCGCUCCGUUUCAUAAUUCUCGUCGAAAUAUUAUAUGUAUCUAGAUAUUUUUUAAAUAGUUAUAUCAUUAAUAGUUAUAUCUAGUUUUGAGCGAAUGUGAAACAAAAAUUAUGUAAGGAAGGAAGAGUAGCUCGGCAAGAAGGCCAAAAACUUUCGUCGUGCAUGCAUGCAUGCGUGGUCAAUGGUCAUUGGUCAAUGUACAUGUUCCCGCGUGUACAUAUGCAUGCGUGCCCGCUGCGUACGUCAAGGGAGCUAGUCUUGCGAUCAUGUCAAUUUAAGCGGUGAUGUCAGGAUACAUUUAUGUCUAUGAUUUUUGCAUUCUUUUUUUAUGUAAUUUUGUUUGGUAUAUAAAAGUUUUGCCAAAAAGCUGUUAGGUCAUUUGACUACACAUCUUGUAGUGUCGCUUCGCCACUGGCACCGACCCCCUAAACUUAGCUUCAGCGCUGGCAUUGAACAAAAGGGACAUGUUUUGGUUAAAACUUUCCAUGCAAAGUUCAUUAAUUCUGCGCUCACGUUUCCGAAAGAGGUCAUCAGGGUUCUCGAAUUUUCACCAAGUAAGAGGUUAUUCAUCCAUCCACCCAAAUUAAGGCAACAUGGAUAGAUGAUAUAUCACCACAAAAAUCUUUGUGGGUAAGCUAGCUAGCGAUGUGGGGGUGGAGCAACUUGUUGGGUUUCCAUGGGAAAACCUUUAAUUUGCCCGGCAGCACACAGUUUCUUACUCAGCAACACAGCAAGUUGCCGGCUCAAGUUCCCAUCCAUAUCAUCAGCCAACCUCUUGCAACUUGCAGCCUUGUGUUCAUAUCAAAAGGACAACUAUAAAACACCCUUCCCCAUCAACCUUUAAAGAUCUAUCGAUCGAUGCAUGGUUCAAAGAAUAAAGCUUGCCACUUGCAGGUACUGUAUAAUACUAUACUAUAUACAGUAAAUUAAUAAUUAAUGUGAAUAUAUUUCUAGCUAGUUUCUGGUGAAUCGAUCUGCUCCAUGGAGCAUGCAGGUCAAUUCUGUCGUCCAUGGCGUCACGCAAUGAUCCAUGUAUCCAUCCGUGAAUAGAUAAGCAUAAAUAUUAUCGACAACAAUUUAAAGUCGGAAGGAGUAUUAAGAUGGGUGGGGUCUCACUCUCAUACUCAGCAUUAAGCAAGCAAGCAGCUCCGGCAAGCAGCAGAUCAGCAGAGCUGCUGCAGCUGCACUGUGGCUAUACGACAAGGUCGCCUAUAGUACAGUACGAUCUAUCUAUAUGUGGCAUCUGCUGUGUGGUCUGUCACAGCUAGCUUUAGCUGCCCGAUCGAUGUAGUCCAUUCAUGGCCAUGAUAAUGCCGAUUUCUGUACUGUGACGGGACAUGCAUAUUUACUCGUCGAGUUA
This is a long non-coding RNA of Brachypodium distachyon (stiff brome), 2148 nucleotides long. RefSeq lists it as uncharacterized. The transcript is spliced from 2 exons. Lineage: Eukaryota; Viridiplantae; Streptophyta; Magnoliopsida; Poales; Poaceae. The record is from RefSeq and is a predicted model, not a curated record.